UAGGGAAUCUUCGGCAAUGGACGAAAGUCUGACCGAGCAACGCCGCGUGAGUGAAGAAGGUUUUCGGAUCGUAAAACUCUGUUGUUAGAGAAGAACAAGGACGUUAGUAACUGAACGUCCCCUGACGGUAUCUAACCAGAAAGCCACGGCUAACUACGUGCCAGCAGCCGCGGUAAUACGUAGGUGGCAAGCGUUGUCCGGAUUUAUUGGGCGUAAAGCGAGCGCAGGCGGUUUCUUAAGUCUGAUGUGAAAGCCCCCGGCUCAACCGGGGAGGGUCAUUGGAAACUGGGAGACUUGAGUGCAGAAGAGGAGAGUGGAAUUCCAUGUGUAGCGGUGAAAUGCGUAGAUAUAUGGAGGAACACCAGUGGCGAAGGCGGCGCUCUGGUCUGUAGCUGACGCUGAGGCUCGAAAGCGUGGGGAGCAAACAGG
This 429-nucleotide ribosomal RNA is filed under the name Gemmatimonadota bacterium. RNAcentral describes it as "Gemmatimonadetes bacterium partial 16S ribosomal RNA". It matches the Rfam family "Bacterial small subunit ribosomal RNA", at positions 355 to 776 of the family's 1533-position model. Lineage: Bacteria; Pseudomonadati; Gemmatimonadota. The record is from RNAcentral.